This 993-nucleotide ribosomal RNA is filed under the name Triticum aestivum (bread wheat). RNAcentral's name for it is "partial small subunit ribosomal RNA". The record is from RNAcentral. Lineage: Eukaryota; Viridiplantae; Streptophyta; Magnoliopsida; Poales; Poaceae.
AUGUGUGGCGGAGCGAUCCUCGCCGAGCUCAUCCCGGGGGGCGCGCCGGCGCGGCGCGCCGCGUCCGGCCACGUCUGGCCGGGCAAGGCCGCCGACGACUUCGAGGCCGCGUUCCGGGACUUCAACGAGGAGGAGGACGUGGUGGUGGUGGUGGAGGAGGAGGUGGCCGAGAGCAAGCCCUUCGUGUUCGCCGCCUCGCCCAAGAAGCCGCAGCAGCAGCGGGAGGAGGAGGAGCAGGCGGCGCCCGCCCGCCGGAGGAAGCCGGCGCAGUACCGCGGCGUGCGGCGCCGGCCGUGGGGCAAGUGGGCCGCCGAGAUCCGCGACCCCGUCAAGGGCGUCCGCGUCUGGCUCGGCACCUUCCCCUCCGCCGAGGCCGCCGCGCUCGCCUACGACGGCGCCGCGCGCGCCAUCCGCGGGCCCAGGGCCAAGCUCAACUUCCCUCCCUCCUCUGCCGUCGCCGCCGCGGCCCCGGGAUCGCGCAAGCGCGUCCGCGCAGAAGCCCUCGCGGCCCCCGCCGCCAAGCCGGCGCCGGUCGUCACCCUCGUCGACGACGAGGAGGAGCACGCGUCGUCCUUGUUCGUCAAGCACGAGGCCGAGCCGAGCGAGGGCUCCGAGUCCAGCGGCGCCCUCCCCGACUUCUCGUGGCAGGGCAUGUCGGCGCUCGACGAGGCCCCGGCGUACCCCGCCCCGGAGCCCGAGACCGAGCAGCUGACAAAGCGGGCGAGGACGACGGAGGCGGAGGACAUCGACGAGGGCAUGUCGGCCCACCCGGCGUCCGACUCCGACUCCGACGCGCUCUUCGACGCCCUCCUCUUCGCCGACCAGUUCGCCUACUUCAACGGCGGCGCCUACGAGUCCCUGGACAGCCUCUUCAGCGCCGACGCCGUGCAGAGCGGCGCCACCGCCACCGCCGCCGCCGCGGACGAGGCGGGCCUGGGGCUCUGGAGCUUCGACGACGACUGCCUCGUCGACGAGUGCAGCCUGUCCUUCUAG